RNAcentral lists this ribosomal RNA (253 nucleotides) under uncultured bacterium. RNAcentral describes it as "partial 16S ribosomal RNA". It matches the Rfam family "Bacterial small subunit ribosomal RNA", at positions 524 to 776 of the family's 1533-position model. The record is from RNAcentral.
UACGUAGGCAGCAAGCGUUGUUCGGAGUUACUGGGCGUAAAGGGUGCGUAGGCGGUCCUAUAAGUAUGGUGUGAAAUCUCCCGGCUUAACUGGAAGGGUGCGCCGGAAACUGGGGUGCUGGAGCGCGGGAGAGGAAAGCGGAAUUCCUGGUGUAGCGGUGGAAUGCGCAGAUAUCAGGAGGAACACCGGUGGCGAAGGCGGGUCUCUGGGCCGUUACUGACGCUGAGGAGCGAAAGCGUGGGGAGCGAACAGG